UGUGUGUGUGUGUGUGAGUGAAUUUUUAGGGUUUUUGCUUGGGAACCUUCCUGAUGAGCAUUUCUCCCAUAUGAAUAUGGGGUCAGUGACAAAGGGUCUGGUGAUGCUGCUGCAGGAUCCAGAUCCUCUCGUGCGAGUGAAAGCCGCUGAAGCCAUGGGUCAUUUUCACUGAUGUUACCUCCACUCUGCAGCCAAUCAGAUUAGUCUUUGAUUUCAAGUUUGUUGCUUUGGAUAAGGAGGAAGCUUUGAAUUGUUGUUCUGUAAUAAGCCUCGAAAGGUUUUUAUUAUUGACCAAAGACUGUGCACUAGUUCUGUAAGAAAAGAGAAGAAUAAAAAGGAGAAGACAUUUAUUACACUUACGUUCAGCACUUUAAGUACUCUCAGAUAUACGGUUUGUGAUUCCUAGCCCGGGUUUUUCACCAGCGGCAGUUUUUAAUGUGAGGUACGUACCUGUUAAAAACUAGAAGGUUGUAGGCGAGUACACUGAUAUUGCUGAUAUUACUUGCUUGACCAUUCCUCUAGCGUGCUAAAUGCGUACCACCACUUUAAAGCAUUAAAUCAUUAAAAACGUAUGUAGGAUGAAUCAAUAUGUUUUAAACCAACAUCAACACUGCAAGGUUUUUCUGGUAAUAAAAUCAGAUGUACUGCUCAGUUAAGAGUUUAAUCCUGUAAAAAAGCAGACGGUUGAGUCACAUUGACCACCAUAAACCUUCAGCAAUAAAUCACCCUAAUAGGGAUGUGCAUUAGCAUAAGCUGCUAAGCCAUUAACUGCAACUGAAAUCUCCUGUACUGAAAUCCACAAUCAAAAAUGAUAUUUCAGCAAGCAUUUAUAGUGUUUUUGCUGUGACUUCUGUGGUUCUGACUGUAUCUCAUGCACUACAGUGGAACAAACUCAAUUGUGCUUCCUUCUCGACCAAGUCAUAAAAGUAGACAAAAACAGUGCCAAAACAUAGAUUUAUAAAAGAUCAAUUUUACUAGAGUAGAUGUUAAAAGAUUUCGGACAUGUUUCAUACUCAUUUUGUGAAGCUUCUAUGUAGCUGAAACACCAGUGCUGGCCUUUCUAUGGCACUUGUCUUGGAUGUUAAUUCACAAGUGUGGCCACUAUUAUUACAGAGUUUGAGCAUGAAUAGUAUUGAAUGAAUUCAAGUCAAUUCAUGAUGUUUCAUCUUAAUAAACUGGACAAAAGUGAUGAUGGAAAGGUAAAUCAACUACUUUUACAAAAUUAGUACCUGUACAGUGUCCUUUACGUAGUUGAACAUAUAUGUACAAAUAAAUCAGAGAAUUCUGUUUUUCUAUGAGAUACUAUGUAAACACAAAAUCGUAUAUUAAACAGUUGAUGUAGUGUAAAUGGCCUAACAAAGUCUUCAUUCUUUCAGCUUUUUAAUAUUUAAUGAAUCUUGGCAUUAAAGAAUUACGGAGCAAACCCUUUGUAAACUGCAUGGGAGUGACUCCCAGUGAGAAAUAGUGAAAUAUCAUUAUAUUUUGUCUUAGUAUAUACACUACCGUUCAAAGGUUUGGGGUCAUUGGGUCUUUUUUUUAUUAUUAUUAUUUUAAAAGAAAUUAACACUUUUAUUCAACAGCGAUGCAUUAAAUAUAUCACAACAGAAAAU
Molecule: long non-coding RNA, 1610 nt
Organism: Sinocyclocheilus anshuiensis
Lineage: Eukaryota; Metazoa; Chordata; Actinopteri; Cypriniformes; Cyprinidae
Source: Ensembl